UACGUAGGGCGCAAGCGUUAUCCGGAAUUAUUGGGCGUAAAGAGCUCGUAGGCGGUUUGUCGCGUCUGCCGUGAAAGUCCGGGGCUCAACUCCGGAUCUGCGGUGGGUACGGGCAGACUAGAGUGAUGUAGGGGAGACUGGAAUUCCUGGUGUAGCGGUGAAAUGCGCAGAUAUCAGGAGGAACACCGAUGGCGAAGGCAGGUCUCUGGGCAUUAACUGACGCUGAGGCACGAAAGCGUGGGGAGCGAACAGG
RNAcentral lists this ribosomal RNA (253 nucleotides) under uncultured bacterium. RNAcentral describes it as "partial 16S ribosomal RNA". It matches the Rfam family "Bacterial small subunit ribosomal RNA", at positions 524 to 776 of the family's 1533-position model. The record is from RNAcentral.